UACGGGGGGGGCAAGCGUUGUUCGGAAUUACUGGGCGUAAAGGGCUCGUAGGCGGCCAACUAAGUCGGAUGUGAAAUCCCCAGGCUUAACCUGGGAACUGCAUCCGAUACUGGAUGGCUUGAAUCCGGGAGAGGGAUGCAGAAUUCCAGGUGUAGCGGUGAAAUGCGUAGAUAUCUGGAGGAAUACCGGUGGCGAAGGCGGCAUCCUGGACCGGUAUUGACGCUGAUGAGCGAAAGCUAGGGGAGCAAACGGG
RNAcentral lists this ribosomal RNA (253 nucleotides) under uncultured bacterium. RNAcentral's name for it is "partial 16S ribosomal RNA". It matches the Rfam family "Bacterial small subunit ribosomal RNA", at positions 524 to 776 of the family's 1533-position model. The record is from RNAcentral.